GUGCCGUUAGUGUAGUAGGUUAUCACGUCCGCCUAACACGCGGGAGGUCCUUGGUUCGAAUCCGAGACGGCACA
RNAcentral lists this transfer RNA (74 nucleotides) under Spraguea lophii 42_110. It matches the Rfam family "tRNA". Rfam says of the family: Transfer RNA (tRNA) molecules are approximately 80 nucleotides in length. Their secondary structure includes four short double-helical elements and three loops (D, anti-codon, and T loops). Lineage: Eukaryota; Fungi; Microsporidia; Spragueidae. The record is from Rfam by way of RNAcentral.